Molecule: unclassified non-coding RNA, 391 nt
Filed under: soil metagenome
Description: partial contains 5.8S ribosomal RNA, internal transcribed spacer 2, and large subunit ribosomal RNA
Rfam family: 5.8S ribosomal RNA (bases 1-122)
Source: RNAcentral
GAUGAAGAACGCAGCGAAAUGCGAUACUUGGUGUGAAUUGCAGAAUCCCGUGAACCAUCGAGUCUUUGAACGCAAGUUGCGCCCGAAGCCAUUAGGCCGAGGGCACGCCUGCCUGGGUGUCACACGUCGUUGCCCCCCCAUCUACUCCUUCGGGAUUGCGGGGGGCGGAUGAUGGCCUCCCGUGCGCCUCGUCGCGCGGUUGGCAUAAAUGCCAAGUCCUCGGCGACGCACGCCACGACAAUCGGUGGUUGCGAAACCUCGGUUGCCCGUCGUGUGCGGUCGUCGCGCAUCGAGGGCUCGAAAAAAUUGCCGGGCUCCGGCUCGGCUUUCAACGCGACCCCAGGUCAGGCGGGGUUACCCUCUGAAUUUAAGCAUAUCAAUAAGCGGAGGA